AGUGGCGAACGGGUGAGUAACACGUGAGUAACCUGCCCCUGACUCUGGGAUAAGCGUUGGAAACGACGUCUAAUACUGGAUACGACUGCCGGCCGCAUGGUCUGGUGGUGGAAAGAUUUUUUGGUUGGGGAUGGACUCGCGGCCUAUCAGCUUGUUGGUGAGGUAAUGGCUCACCAAGGCGACGACGGGUAGCCGGCCUGAGAGGGUGACCGGCCACACUGGGACUGAGACACGGCCCAGACUCCUACGGGAGGCAGCAGUGGGGAAUAUUGCACAAUGGGCGAAAGCCUGAUGCAGCAACGCCGCGUGAGGGAUGACGGCCUUCGGGUUGUAAACCUCUUUUAGUAGGGAAGAAGCGAAAGUGACGGUACCUGCAGAAAAAGCACCGGCUAACUACGUGCCAGCAGCCGCGGUAAUACGUAGGGUGCAAGCGUUGUCCGGAAUUAUUGGGCGUAAAGAGCUCGUAGGCGGUUUGUCGCGUCUGCUGUGAAAUCCCGAGGCUCAACCUCGGGCUUGCAGUGGGUACGGGCAGACUAGAGUGCGGUAGGGGAGAUUGGAAUUCCUGGUGUAGCGGUGGAAUGCGCAGAUAUCAGGAGGAACACCGAUGGCGAAGGCAGAU
RNAcentral lists this ribosomal RNA (619 nucleotides) under Curtobacterium sp. I12A-00105. RNAcentral's name for it is "bacterial SSU rRNA". It matches the Rfam family "Bacterial small subunit ribosomal RNA", at positions 94 to 726 of the family's 1533-position model. The record is from RNAcentral. Lineage: Bacteria; Bacillati; Actinomycetota; Actinomycetes; Micrococcales; Microbacteriaceae.